RNAcentral lists this ribosomal RNA (465 nucleotides) under uncultured bacterium. RNAcentral describes it as "partial 16S ribosomal RNA". It matches the Rfam family "Bacterial small subunit ribosomal RNA", at positions 338 to 795 of the family's 1533-position model. The record is from RNAcentral.
CCUACGGGAGACAGCAGUGGGGAAUAUUGCGCAAUGGGCGAAAGCCUGACGCAGCGACGCCGCGUGAGGGAUGAAGGUCUUCGGAUCGUAAACCUCUGUCAGCAGGGAAGAACGGUCACUGUGCUAAUCAGCAGUGAAUUGACGGUACCUGCAAAGGAAGCACCGGCUAACUCCGUGCCAGCAGCCGCGGUGAUACGGAGGGUGCGAGCGUUAAUCGGAAUUACUGGGCGUAAAGCGCUCGUAGGCGGUAUGUCAAGUCAAGGGGGAAAUCCCCGCGCUCACCGUGGGAACUGCCUUUGAAACUGGAAAACUGGAGUGUGUGAGAGGAUAGUGGAAUUCCAGGUGUAGGAGUGAAAUCCGUAGAUAUCUGGAGGAACAUCAGUGGCGAAGGCGACUAUCUGGCACAUAACUGACGCUGAGGAGCGAAAGCGUGGGUAGCAAACAGGAUUAGAUACCCUGGUAGUC